Molecule: long non-coding RNA, 434 nt
Filed under: Ananas comosus (pineapple)
Lineage: Eukaryota; Viridiplantae; Streptophyta; Magnoliopsida; Poales; Bromeliaceae
Description: long non-coding RNA (ACOM_LNC031245)
Source: RNAcentral
UGGUCUAGCUUAAGGGUAUAGAAAUGAAAGUAACGAACUUGUAAUAAUCUUGCAAUGGUUGAUUGUAUUUGAAAGUCGUAUGUAAAAGAAAGUGUAAUGUAAAAUGCAAGUGAGUUGAAUGCUUGUAAUGACUUAGUUGUUUUAUGUUUUUGAUACUUCCUUAUGCAAUCUGUAUGUUGAAUACUGUUCCUGGUUGGAACCUCGCGUAUUGUAUUGAUUGCGACGCCAAGAACGUACAGAGGAAACUCUGUCCGUUCGGCGGUCUAUUAGCGGGCCCGAAUCCGACCAAAUAGGCGGGUCUCAGGGCGUGACAAUGCUGAAGUCAUUUUGGACCCAGUUUAGGGCGUCCGAAAGUUGAGUCUGAAAGUUCACCUCGUGAAUAUCGAAUGUGCUGAGACAUGGCUAGUGGUAGGUGAGAUUCGUCGGAUGAGUUU